RNAcentral lists this ribosomal RNA (517 nucleotides) under uncultured bacterium. RNAcentral's name for it is "bacterial SSU rRNA". It matches the Rfam family "Bacterial small subunit ribosomal RNA", at positions 8 to 521 of the family's 1533-position model. The record is from RNAcentral.
AGAGUUUGAUCAUGGCUCAGAUUGAACGCUGGCGGUAGGCUUAACACAUGCAAGUCGUGCGAGAAAGUAUCUUCGGAUAUGAGUAGAGCGGCGGACGGGUGAGUAACGCGUAGGAAUCUACCUAGUAGAAGGGGAUAGCCCGAGGAAACUCGGAUUAAUACCGUAUACCUCCUUAGGGAGAAAGAGGGCCUCUCUUGAUGCUCUCGCUAUUAGAUGAGCCUGCGUAAGAUUAGCUUGUUGGUGAGGUAAUGGCUCACCAAGGCCACGAUCUUUAGCUGGUCUGAGAGGACGAUCAGCCACAUUGGGACUGAGACACGGCCCAGACUCCUACGGGAGGCAGCAGUGGGGAAUAUUGGACAACGGGCGCAAGCCUGAUCCAGCCAUACCGCGUGUGUGAAGAAGGCCUUCGGGUUGUAAAGCACUUUAAGCAGGGAGAAGAAGUUAUAAGUUAAUACCUUAUAACCGUGAUGUUACCUGCAGAAUAAGCACCGGCUAAUUCCGUGCCAGCCGCCGCGGU